Molecule: long non-coding RNA, 3590 nt
Organism: Stegostoma tigrinum
Lineage: Eukaryota; Metazoa; Chordata; Chondrichthyes; Orectolobiformes; Stegostomatidae
Exons: 3
Source: RefSeq, a predicted model, not a curated record
CCUCUUGCUUACUAUUGGUCGUUAGAUGUCGUGGUCAGCUAUGGAGCAUGCGUACUGGGAGCGAUAUCCGGAAUGAAAUGAUCCUCCAUGAGAGCCACAAGUGAACAUUCAACAACUUGAAAACUGGAUUGAAAAUGAGAGACAGAGCAGCCACUGCAGAAGCUUCCAAAAUCACUCUGCAGCUCCUUGUACUGCUGCAAUCCACGUGGUGAAGUAGCUCCCUUGUUGCAAUUUGGUUGAUGACAUCCUUCGAAGAACAGGAGAUCUGAAGUGGACACAUUAUUCCAGAAGAGGCCCCACUGAUGUUCUGCACAAUUUCAACAUAACGUCCCACCUCCGAUACUCAAAAGGUCUGAGCAGUGAAGGCAAGCAGGCCAAACACCGACUUAACCACCCUUUCGACAUGUGACGCCAACCUCAAAGAAUUAUGGGCCUCAACCCUGAGGUCUCUCUGUUCGACAACACUAAUCCCAAGGCCCUACAUUUAAUUGUACAAAUACUGAUCUUGUUUGUUUUACCAAAAUGAAAUACCUCGUCUCUAUCCAAAUUAAACACCACCUGCCAUUCCACAGCCUCUUAACCCUAUAAAUCAAGAUCUCUUUGUAAUCUUGGACAGCCUACUUCGCUGUCCACUAUCCUGCCUAUUUUGGUGUCAUCUGCAAACUUCCUAACCAUGUCUCAACGAUUCUCAUUUAAUUCACUUUUAUUUUAUAUCAAGCCAAACAAAAUUGGACUAAGCACUGACCCCUAUGGAACACCUUUGGGGACAGACCUUCGGUCUGAUAUACAAUCCUCCACCAAGAGUUCCUGUGUCCUGUCAUUUAGCCAAAUUUGUAUCCAGUUGGCAAACUCCCCCUGAAUCCCGUAUGAUCUAACUUUUCUAAUUAGUCCACCUUGUGGAACCUUGUCAAAGGCUUUACUCUUGUCAAAAUAAAUUACGUCCACCACUCUGCCCUCAAUAAUCUUCUUUGUUACUUCUCCAAAAAACUCAAUCAACUAAUCAUUCCUUGACUCUCCAAAUACAUAAAUCCUACCUUUCACAAUUACCUUCAACUGCAUACCCAAAACCAAAGUCAGACUCACAGGUUUAUAGUUCCCCAGCUUCUCCUUAUGUCCCUUAAACGAAGGCACAAUUUUAGGCACUCUCCAGUCAUCUGGCACCUCACCCGUAAUUAUAGAUGAUACAAAUAUUUCUGCAAAGGGGCCCCCAUGUUUUCUCUUCAACUUCCCACAACAUGGUUUGAUGCACUAGAGCAGGACCUGGAGGUUUAAAGUCAGAGUGUAACACAGCAUGGAAACAGGCCCUUCGGCCUAAACUGGUCAGUGCUGACUAUUGGUGCCCACUCAGCAAGUUAUAAUUUCCUGCAUUUGGUCCAUGUCCCCCUCCAAACACUUUCCAUCCAUGUACCUACCCAAAUGUGUUUAAACGUUGCUAUUGUACCUGUCUCAAACACUUUCUCUGGCAGCCCAUUCCAAAUAUGCACCACUGUCUGUGUGAAGAAGUUGCUCCUCACAUCCUCCUUCAAUCUGCCCCCUCUCACCUUAAAUCUAUACACUCUAGUUUUCUAUUCCCCAUCCCUGGGAAAAAGACUAUGUGCAUUCAUCCUAUCUAUGCCCCUCAUGAUUUUAUUCACCUCAGUAAGGUCAGCCCUCAUUCUCCUCCAUUCCAAGGAAUAAAGUCCAAUCCUGGCCAACCUCCCCUGAGAACUUGCAUACUAUUCCUGGCAACAUCCUCGUAACUCUUCUUUGCACAUUUUCCAGUUUAACUAUGCCUUUCCUGUAACAGGGUGACCAAAACUGUACGCCAUACUGCAAGUGUGGCCUCUCCAACAACUUGUACAUCUUUAACAUAACAUAUCAUCCCAAAUCUUACAUGCAAUGCCUCGACCGAAGAAGGCCAGCAUGCUAAAUGUUUUCUUCACCACCCUGUCUAUCUGUGAUGCUGCUUUCAACAACUAUGUUAUUGUACUCCUCGGUCUCUCUGUUCCACAAUACUCCUGAAAACAUUACCAUUCACUGUAUAACUCCUACCUUGGUUUAACUUUCCAAAGGCCAACACCUCAUGCUUAACUGUAUUGAAUUUCAUUUGGCCAUCCUCACACCACUUCCCCAUCUGAUCACCAUCCCCUGUAGUUUUUGAUAACUUUCACUGUUAUCAGCGAUACCUCUUAAUUUUGUAUCAUCCGCAAAAUUACUAAUCAUGCCGUGUACGUUCACAUCCAGAUCAUUUAUGUAAGUGACAAAUAACAAAGGUCCCAGUCCUGACCCCUGUGGCACACCAUGAGCCACAGGCCUCCAGUCUGAGAACCAACUUUCAGCCAUCAUGCUGUGUUUCCUACCAUCGAUCCAAUUUCGAAUCCCAUGAGCUAUCUCUCCCUGGAUCCCACACAAGAGAACCUUCAUGACCAGCCUGGCGUAUGGAACCUUGUUAAAGGCCUUACUAAAGUCCAUAUAGACAGCAUUCGCUGCCCUAUCCUCAUCAAUCCUCUUGCUUACCUCUUCGAAAAAACAUGAAUGGAUUUGUCAGACAUGAUUCCUGUGCACAAAUCCGUGCUGACUAUCCCUAAUCAGACCUUGAAUACCCUACCUUUGGUUGAUCGACUCCCUGAAUAUCAUCUUCAAUACCUUGCCUACCACUGGUUCACUAGCCUGUAUUUCCCUGGCUGGUCUUUGCUACUUUUCUUAACCAGUGGGACAACAUUAGCCACCCUCCAGUCUUCUGGAAUUUCAGUCGUGAGAAAAGAUGAAGGGAAAAAUCUCUGCAAGGGUUUCUGCAAUUUCUUCCCCAGCCUCCCACAGUGUCCAAAGAUGGACUUCAUCAGAUCCAGUGGAAUUAUCAACCGUAAUGUGCUUUAAGGCUGCAAACGCCACCUUGAUGGUCCGAAACAUCCCCACUUGCUUCCCUUGUUUCCUUAGCAUCCAUGAUUCUCUGCUUAGUAAACACUGAGGAGAAAUAUUCAUUAAAAAUCUCCCCCACCUCUGUGAGCUGUUUUCAAACCAAAAUAUUUCUACCCCUGACUUGUCCCCCCUCCAUUUCUUUCUCAACAGUAAAACCUGAUGCAAUAUAUUCCUUUCAAAUCUCUCUCUUCUCCUGAUGCUCAACACAGAGUUGACUUCUUUCAUCUUUAUGGAGCUCUGCUUGCUCUCUCGGUGCUCUCUUGCUCUUAAUGCACUUGUAGAAGAAACCUUUUGAAUUAUUCUUAACCUUAUCAACCAAGGCAGUUUCAUGUUGCCUUUUUGCCAUCCUGAUCUCCUGUUUAAGAAUGCCCCCAACAGUGUUUACACUGUUCAAGAGAUUCAUUUCAGCCAAUUUGUUUAUAUCUAAUAAUUUUUUUUUUUUAUUCUUGACUAAAACCUGCAUAUCUUUUUCACCCAUUGUUCUCUAAUCCUACCAGCCGUACCUUUCACUCUUACAGGGACAUAAUGACUCUGAAUUAUCACACUUUUGAAAGCCUCCCACUUCAAUGUCCUUAUAACUUCAGUCUGCUCCAAUCAGCUUUUGCAAGUUACAGAACAGAAGUUGCUGGAAAAACUUAGCAGGUCUAGCAGCAUCUGUGAAGGAAAAGUCAGUUAAUAUUUCAGGUCCAUUG